UACGUAGGUGGCAAGCGUUGUCCGGAUUUACUGGGCGUAAAGGGCGUGCAGGCGGUUUGUUAAGUCUAGGGUGAAAGCUCCCGGCUCAACUGGGAGAGGUCCUUGGAUACUGGCGAACUUGAGGGAUGCAGAGGAAAGUGGAAUUCCCGGUGUAGUGGUGAUAUGCGUAGAGAUCGGGAGGAACACCGGUGGCGAAGGCGGGUCUCUGGGCAUCUCCUGACGCUGAGGCGCGAAAGCGUGGGGAGCGAACAGG
RNAcentral lists this ribosomal RNA (253 nucleotides) under uncultured bacterium. RNAcentral describes it as "partial 16S ribosomal RNA". It matches the Rfam family "Bacterial small subunit ribosomal RNA", at positions 524 to 776 of the family's 1533-position model. The record is from RNAcentral.